This 406-nucleotide ribosomal RNA is filed under the name uncultured bacterium. RNAcentral's name for it is "partial 16S ribosomal RNA". It matches the Rfam family "Bacterial small subunit ribosomal RNA", at positions 30 to 526 of the family's 1533-position model. The record is from RNAcentral.
AUUGAACGCUGGCGGCAGGCCUAACACAUGCAAGUCGAACGAGUGGCGGACGUGAGAGUAAUGUCUGGGAAACUGCCCGAUGGAGGGGGAUAACUACUGGAAACGGUAGCUAAUACCGCAUACCAUCGGAUGUGCCCAGAUGGGAUUAGCUAGUAGGUGGGGUAACGGCUCACCUUGGCGACGCUCCCUAGCUGGUCUGAGAGGAUGACCGGCCACACUGGAACUGAGACACGGUCCAGCAUCCGACGGGAGGCAGAAGUGGGGAAUAUUGCAAAAUGGGCGAAAGCCGGAUGCAGCCAUGCCGCGGGUAUGAAGAAGGCCUUCGGGUGGUAAAGUACUUUCAGCGAGGAGGCGUUACUCGAAGAGGAAGCACCGGCUAACUCCGUGCCAGCAGCCGCGGUAAUUC